Molecule: ribosomal RNA, 1550 nt
Filed under: Klebsiella pneumoniae
Lineage: Bacteria; Pseudomonadati; Pseudomonadota; Gammaproteobacteria; Enterobacterales; Enterobacteriaceae
Description: bacterial SSU rRNA
Rfam family: Bacterial small subunit ribosomal RNA
Source: RNAcentral
AAAUUGAAGAGUUUGAUCAUGGCUCAGAUUGAACGCUGGCGGCAGGCCUAACACAUGCAAGUCGAGCGGUAGCACAGAGAGCUUGCUCUCGGGUGACGAGCGGCGGACGGGUGAGUAAUGUCUGGGAAACUGCCUGAUGGAGGGGGAUAACUACUGGAAACGGUAGCUAAUACCGCAUAAUGUCGCAAGACCAAAGUGGGGGACCUUCGGGCCUCAUGCCAUCAGAUGUGCCCAGAUGGGAUUAGCUAGUAGGUGGGGUAAUGGCUCACCUAGGCGACGAUCCCUAGCUGGUCUGAGAGGAUGACCAGCCACACUGGAACUGAGACACGGUCCAGACUCCUACGGGAGGCAGCAGUGGGGAAUAUUGCACAAUGGGCGCAAGCCUGAUGCAGCCAUGCCGCGUGUGUGAAGAAGGCCUUCGGGUUGUAAAGCACUUUCAGCGGGGAGGAAGGCGGUGAGGUUAAUAACCUCACCGAUUGACGUUACCCGCAGAAGAAGCACCGGCUAACUCCGUGCCAGCAGCCGCGGUAAUACGGAGGGUGCAAGCGUUAAUCGGAAUUACUGGGCGUAAAGCGCACGCAGGCGGUCUGUCAAGUCGGAUGUGAAAUCCCCGGGCUUAACCUGGGAACUGCAUUCGAAACUGGCAGGCUAGAGUCUUGUAGAGGGGGGUAGAAUUCCAGGUGUAGCGGUGAAAUGCGUAGAGAUCUGGAGGAAUACCGGUGGCGAAGGCGGCCCCCUGGACAAAGACUGACGCUCAGGUGCGAAAGCGUGGGGAGCAAACAGGAUUAGAUACCCUGGUAGUCCACGCCGUAAACGAUGUCGAUUUGGAGGUUGUGCCCUUGAGGCGUGGCUUCCGGAGCUAACGCGUUAAAUCGACCGCCUGGGGAGUACGGCCGCAAGGUUAAAACUCAAAUGAAUUGACGGGGGCCCGCACAAGCGGUGGAGCAUGUGGUUUAAUUCGAUGCAACGCGAAGAACCUUACCUGGUCUUGACAUCCACAGAACUUUCCAGAGAUGGAUUGGUGCCUUCGGGAACUGUGAGACAGGUGCUGCAUGGCUGUCGUCAGCUCGUGUUGUGAAAUGUUGGGUUAAGUCCCGCAACGAGCGCAACCCUUAUCCUUUGUUGCCAGCGGUUAGGCCGGGAACUCAAAGGAGACUGCCAGUGAUAAACUGGAGGAAGGUGGGGAUGACGUCAAGUCAUCAUGGCCCUUACGACCAGGGCUACACACGUGCUACAAUGGCAUAUACAAAGAGAAGCGACCUCGCGAGAGCAAGCGGACCUCAUAAAGUAUGUCGUAGUCCGGAUUGGAGUCUGCAACUCGACUCCAUGAAGUCGGAAUCGCUAGUAAUCGUAGAUCAGAAUGCUACGGUGAAUACGUUCCCGGGCCUUGUACACACCGCCCGUCACACCAUGGGAGUGGGUUGCAAAAGAAGUAGGUAGCUUAACCUUCGGGAGGGCGCUUACCACUUUGUGAUUCAUGACUGGGGUGAAGUCGUAACAAGGUAACCGUAGGGGAACCUGCGGUUGGAUCACCUCCUUACCUUAAAGAA